AAACUUUUGUCAACUAAGG
This 19-nucleotide microRNA is filed under the name Schistosoma mansoni. RNAcentral's name for it is "sma-miR-8453-3p". Lineage: Eukaryota; Metazoa; Platyhelminthes; Trematoda; Strigeidida; Schistosomatidae. The record is from miRBase by way of RNAcentral.